RNAcentral lists this transfer RNA (72 nucleotides) under Juglanconis juglandina. RNAcentral's name for it is "tRNA-Lys". It matches the Rfam family "tRNA". Rfam says of the family: Transfer RNA (tRNA) molecules are approximately 80 nucleotides in length. Lineage: Eukaryota; Fungi; Ascomycota; Sordariomycetes; Diaporthales; Juglanconidaceae. The record is from RNAcentral. RNAcentral also lists the same sequence under 2 other names.
UUCUCAUUAGCUCAACGGUAGAGCAGUAAUCUUUUAAGUUACAGGUUUUUAGUUCGAAUCUAAAUUGAGAAA